GGAUGUGACAGAGAUCUGGCUGCGACAUCUGUCACCCCAUUGAUCGCCAGGGUUGAUUUGCUGAUGUGGGGUCCCUUUCCUCCUUCAAUGCUCAAGUGUGUCCCUCCUGAAGUUGUGCUGGAGGACUGGUCUUGGGUCAACGGUGUAUGAGUAGCUGUGCUCCUCUGUUAGAACCUCCAAAUGAGCGCUAAGAUAUUGCAGACAAAAUGUGGAAUCUCAUUUAACUAUUUUUAAAUGUCACAGUGUGCUUAUUC
This 254-nucleotide small nuclear RNA is filed under the name Nannospalax galili (Upper Galilee mountains blind mole rat). Its description in RNAcentral is "7SK RNA (ENSNGAG00000007183.1)". It matches the Rfam family "7SK RNA". Rfam says of the family: 7SK was discovered as an abundant small nuclear RNA in the mid-70s but a possible function has only recently been suggested. The record is from RNAcentral. Lineage: Eukaryota; Metazoa; Chordata; Mammalia; Rodentia; Spalacidae.